UUACCAAUUAGAGCCUAUUGCUUCGUGUCGGAGUAACUCCCCCUAAUUUUUUGUUCGUCGAUUUUGAUUCGGGAAACCCUCGGAAAUGGCGAAAUUAUUUUGGUUGGAAGCUGUUCUUCCGCUGGGAAUCAUUGCCGGGAUGCUGUGCGUUAUGGGCAACGCCCAGUACUACAUCCACAAAGCGGCCCACGGAAGGCCAAAGCAUGUCGGGAAUGAUAUGUGGGAUGUGGCGAUGGAGCGGAGGGACAAGAAGAUCACGGAGCAGUAUUCUUCCGCCGGGAAUUAGGAACUGGUUGUCCAUGGGAGGCGCUCAACGCAGAUGGGAAUAACGUUCCUUCAAGAAUCGGAGACAAUAUGCUUUAAGGCACCUUGUACCAUGCUUUUAUUUGUGCUUUUCCUUAUUUAUGCACAUGAGAACCCCUGUGUGAUCGAAGUGGCGAAUUCCAGUUAAAAUAUUAUAGAUGGUUGGCUGGUUCAUUAGCUGGGGCCAUAUGUCUGCGAACAAUUGGAGAAUGUUGCAUUGUACUCUUGUUUUGAAGGAAUCAAAUUACUUCGUGUCUUUGCUUUGCUGUUAAAAUUGUACUUUUAGUGAUCAAUUUAAUUUUAUAUGAAACAGGAAGCUGCCCGGGAGACUAAUAUUCUUCGUAUGGUUUGAUUUUGCAGAGUUGUGCUUGAUACAUGUAGCAGAAGAUGCAUUGGUGGUUUCAUAUUUAAGGAUUUGGUUCACUGA
Molecule: non-coding RNA, 730 nt
Organism: Elaeis guineensis (African oil palm)
Lineage: Eukaryota; Viridiplantae; Streptophyta; Magnoliopsida; Arecales; Arecaceae
Source: RefSeq, a predicted model, not a curated record